Pristis pectinata (smalltooth sawfish) is the source of this 354-nucleotide long non-coding RNA. RefSeq lists it as uncharacterized. The record is from RefSeq and is a predicted model, not a curated record. NCBI's taxonomy places the organism in Eukaryota, Metazoa, Chordata, Chondrichthyes, Rhinopristiformes, Pristidae. The transcript has 3 exons.
UUUUCACUGAUGGGGAGUACUUCAGCUUUCGACUGGGUUUGUGAGUGGUGACAAGGGCCAUAAACAGAGAGGAUACUCUUACAUUUGCUGCUUCCAGGAGUGCAGAACAGCAGAAGGAAUAAAGUCGCAGGUGACUUUCAAAAACUGCACUUAAGCUACUGACCAAUCACACUUGUUUUUGGGGUGUGUUCUUCAAGACGGGUGAGAAAGGCCAAGCAGGAGUGAGAUUAUCAGAUCAGGCCUCGAUUACUGGCCCACCACGUCACACCUGCUAUGUCACCGCCUUGCCUUGGAUGUCAUCGGAUCUACUCAGCCUCAGAUGCCUGUUCAAGAUGGCCCAGUGCUGGAAUAGUC